UGGGGAAUAUUGGACAAUGGGCGAAAGCCUGAUCCAGCAAUGCCGCGUGAGUGAUGAAGGCCUUAGGGUUGUAAAGCUCUUUUACCCGGGAAGAUAAUGACUGUACCGGGAGAAUAAGCUCCGGCUAACUCCGUGCCAGCAGCCGCGGUAAUACGGAGGGAGCUAGCGUUGUUCGGAAUUACUGGGCGUAAAGCGCACGUAGGCGGCUUUCUAAGUUAGAGGUGAAAGCCCGGAGCUCAACUCCGGAAUUGCCUUUAAGACUGGAUCGCUUGAAUCAUGGAGAGGCGGGUGGAAUUCCGAGUGUAGAGGUGAAAUUCGUAGAUAUUCGGAAGAACACCAGUGGCGAAGGCGGCCCGCUGGACAUGUAUUGACGCUGAGGUGCGAAAGCGUGGGGAGCAAA
Molecule: ribosomal RNA, 400 nt
Filed under: uncultured bacterium
Lineage: Bacteria
Description: bacterial SSU rRNA
Rfam family: Bacterial small subunit ribosomal RNA
Source: RNAcentral